RNAcentral lists this ribosomal RNA (418 nucleotides) under uncultured Actinomycetes bacterium. Its description in RNAcentral is "bacterial SSU rRNA". It matches the Rfam family "Bacterial small subunit ribosomal RNA", at positions 505 to 918 of the family's 1533-position model. Lineage: Bacteria; Bacillati; Actinomycetota; Actinomycetes. The record is from RNAcentral.
GUGCCAGCAGCCGCGGUAAUACGUAGGGGCCUAGCGUUGUCCGGAAUCAUUGGGCGUAAAGAGCUCGUAGGCGGUUCAGCAAGUCGGCUGUGAAAGUCCGAGGCUCAACCUCGGAAUUGCAGUCGAUACUGUUGUGACUCGAGUCCGGUAGAGGAGAAUGGAAUUCCCGGUGUAGCGGUGAAAUGCGCAGAUAUCGGGAGGAACACCAGUAGCGAAGGCGGUUCUCUGGGCCGGUACUGACGCUGAGGAGCGAAAGCGUGGGGAGCGAACAGGAUUAGAUACCCUGGUAGUCCACGCCGUAAACGUUGGACACUAGGUGUGGCGGUCUUACCAACGACUGCCGUGCCGAAGCUAACGCAUUAAGUGUCCCGCCUGGGGAGUACGGCCGCAAGGCUAAAACUCAAAUGAAUUGACGGGA